CCUACGGGAGGCAGCAGUGGGGGAUAUUGCACAAUGGGGGGAACCCUGAUGCAGCGACGCCGCGUGGGUGAAGAAGCGCCUCGGCGCGUAAAGCCCUGUCAGCAGGGAAGAAAAUGACGGUACCUGAAGAAGAAGCCCCGGCGAACUACGUGCCAGCAGCCGCGGUACUACGUAGGGGGCAAGCGUUAUCCGGGUUUACUGGGUGUAAAGGGGGCGCAGGCGGCGAUGCAAGCCAGGAGUGACAGCCCGGGGCUCAACCGCGGGACUGCUCUUGGAAGUGCGUGGCUGGAGUGCAGGAGGGGCAGGCGGAAUUCCUGGUGUAGCGGUGAAAUGCGUAGAUAUCAGGAGGAACACCGGUGGCGAAGGCGGCCUGCUGGACUGCAACUGACGUUGAGGCCCGAAAGCGUGGGGAGCAAACAGGAUUAGAUACCCUUGUAGUC
RNAcentral lists this ribosomal RNA (440 nucleotides) under uncultured bacterium. RNAcentral's name for it is "partial 16S ribosomal RNA". It matches the Rfam family "Bacterial small subunit ribosomal RNA", at positions 338 to 795 of the family's 1533-position model. The record is from RNAcentral.